AACGAACGCUGGCGGCGUGCCUAACACAUGCAAGUCGAACGUGAUUAGAGGGCUUGCUCUCUAUGAAAGUGGCGCACGGGUGAGUAACGCGUAGAUAAUCUACCUGGUGAUCCGGGAUAACAGUUCGAAAGGACUGCUAAUACCUGAUAAGCCCACGGAGUCCUUGGACUCUGCGGGAAAAGGGGGGGACCAUUUGGCCUUCCGUCAUCAGAUGAGUCUGCGUACCAUUAGCUAGUUGGUAGGGUAAAGGCCUACCAAGGCGACGAUGGUUAGCGGGUCUGAGAGGAUGAUCAGCCACACUGGAACUGAGACACGGUCCAGACUCCUACGGGAGGCAGCAGUGGGGAAUUUUGCGCAAUGGGGGAAACCCUGACGCAGCAACGCCGCGUGAGUGAGGAAGGCCCUUGGGUCGUAAAGCUCUGACAGAGGGAAAGAAAUGCAGGGGAGCUAAUAUCUCCUUUGCUUGACGGUACCCUCAAAGGAAGCACCGGCUAACUCCGUGCCAGCCGCCGCAGUAA
RNAcentral lists this ribosomal RNA (518 nucleotides) under uncultured bacterium. Its description in RNAcentral is "partial 16S ribosomal RNA". It matches the Rfam family "Bacterial small subunit ribosomal RNA", at positions 29 to 523 of the family's 1533-position model. The record is from RNAcentral.